RNAcentral lists this ribosomal RNA (116 nucleotides) under Bembrops curvatura (brownspotted flathead). Its description in RNAcentral is "partial 16S ribosomal RNA". Lineage: Eukaryota; Metazoa; Chordata; Actinopteri; Perciformes. The record is from RNAcentral.
CGCUCAACAGCUAGCCCAUCUAAUAAAAACAACAAACCACUAUUUAUACCCCCAAAUGCACUAAAUGCCUAAAUUAAACAAACCAUUUUUCCCCCCUAGUAUGGGCGACAGAAAAG